RNAcentral lists this ribosomal RNA (207 nucleotides) under uncultured bacterium. RNAcentral describes it as "partial 16S ribosomal RNA". It matches the Rfam family "Bacterial small subunit ribosomal RNA", at positions 568 to 774 of the family's 1533-position model. The record is from RNAcentral.
UGCGUAGGCGGGUUUCUAAGUCAGAGGUGAAAGCCUGGAGCUCAACUCCAGAACUGCCUUUGAUACUGGAAGUCUUGGGUAUGGCAGAGGUGAGUGGAACUGCGAGUGUAGAGGUGAAAUUCGUAGAUAUUCGUAAGAACACCAGUGGCGAAGGCGGCUCACUGGGCCAUUACCGACGCUGAGGCACGAAAGCGUGGGGAGCAAACA